AGUGAACGCUGGCGGUAGGCCUAACACAUGCAAGUCGAACGGCAGCACAGUAAGAGCGUGCGCUUACGGGUGGCGAGUGGCGGACGGGUGAGGAAUACAUCGGGAUCUACUUUUUCGGGGGGGAUAACGAAGGGAAAGUUACGAUAAUACCGCAUACGACCUACGGGGGAAAGCAGGGGAAAGUCGGACCUGGCGCGGUUGAAUGAGCGGAUGACGGAUUAGCUGGUUGGCGGGGUAAAGGCCAACCAAGGCGACGAUCCGUAGCUGGUCUGAGAGGAUGAUCAGCCACACUGGAACUGGGCCACGGUCCAUGCUCCUACGGGAGGCAGCAGUGUGGAAUGUUGGGCAGUGGGCGCGAGCCUGAUCCAGCCAUCCCGCGUGGGUUAAGGCGGCCUUCCGUUUGUAAUGCCCUUUUGUUGGGAGAGAAAAGCAGCAGGUUAAUACCCCGCUGUUCUGACGGUACCCAAUGAAUAAGCACCGGCUAACUUCGUG
Molecule: ribosomal RNA, 492 nt
Filed under: uncultured bacterium
Lineage: Bacteria
Description: partial 16S ribosomal RNA
Rfam family: Bacterial small subunit ribosomal RNA
Source: RNAcentral